This 308-nucleotide ribosomal RNA is filed under the name uncultured bacterium. Its description in RNAcentral is "bacterial SSU rRNA". It matches the Rfam family "Bacterial small subunit ribosomal RNA", at positions 30 to 334 of the family's 1533-position model. The record is from RNAcentral.
AUUGAACGCUGGCGGCAGGCCUAACACAUGCAAGUCGAGCGGUAACAGAUCUAGCUUGCUAGAUGCUGACGAGCGGCGGACGGGUGAGUAACGCGUAGGAAUUUGCCUGAUAGAGGGGGAUAGCCCGGGGAAACUCGGAUUAAUACCGCAUACGCUCUACGGAGGAAAGCAGGGGAUCUUCGGACCUUGCGCUAUCAGAUAAGCCUGCGUGGGAUUAGCUAGUUGGUGAGGUAAAGGCUCACCAAGGCGACGAUCUCUAGCUGGUCUGAGAGGAUGAUCAGCCACACUGGAACUGAGACACGGUCCAG